GAUUGAAGCAAAAGAAGUUAGUUACAGACAGAUCUGGACUUCUAAAAGGUACAAUAAUGGCAACAAGCACUGGACAACCAAGAGGAAUGUAUAGGUUGGGAAUCACCGAUGUCACGUGGAGCAUGGCGACAGAGGGCGGGAGUGGAGAUGCUCACAAUGGACGGCGAUGGCAUGGUGGGAGGGAAGUAAUCUGGCUCUGAGGGCCAGCGACUGGUGAGCGCCCUUGAGAUUCGUGCUCGGAGCAGUGCGAGACGAAGCACAGCUCCUGCGUGGCAGCUGCCAAGGUGCACCAGCGCCGUGGGACUGGCUAAGUGGUGAGACAGAAUGAAACCUCGUGUUCUCUCCUUCAAGCACCCCUGCUUUAGGGUCAUGUAUGGCAUUGCUUCUUAACUGAUUUGUGAGAUGUUUACAGGUGUCUCACUAAAAAAACAAAGCUCUAUGGUCAGUUAAGUUCGGGAAGCACUAAGCUCAGCGAAGCUCUAAACACUUUUAAAGUAAAAGAUGCUACUACAUCAGGUUUGUGUCCAGUCUUUGAGGGAAGCCUGAGCUACCAUAAUUCCCCAAAUUGUCUGUGUAGCCCUCUCCACCUCCGUGCACCAGGAAACACUGAUCUGCACCAGAAGGAACAUUACUAUUCAGAAGAACAGCCUGGGAAAUGCUGGGUUAGGUAACAGGACUUCAUCAGCUUCCCAGCUUCGUCUUUGGGGCCCUGGGCUCCAGUUUCUCCCAAUCUUCCAUUCAUCUGUGGCAGGAACCCGGACUCCGCGCUCCCACAUGGCCAGACCUGCACACCCCUCCACCUGCUGCACGGGCCCUUUCUGAACCGGCUCCUGGCUGCCUUUCCUGCCCUACUUCGGCAUCCUGUGCUGGUCCCACCCAUGCCAGCGGGGUGCGGGUCAGCGCUGCCACCAAUCAGGGCCCCCAUGGGUGCUCCUAAAUCAAGGUCCAGUUUAGGAAAUUUCCUUAUCCCUUUCAACUGUGAGUUAUCACUUCCUCUCUGUGUUCUAUUCACUGCUUCUUAGCAUCACUUUUUAAGUGAUACAAGUACUGAAAUCCAACUUACGUAUCCUGCUGAGCAGGGAGGGUCUGCGCCAGUGCCCUGCAAGUGCAAGCCCGCCCUCAAGGUAAGGAAAGAAGUGGGAGGAGACAGGUCAGAAGUAUGUGACACCACCAGCUGUAUUGGUGGAGCGCUUACUAUGUACACGUGGGAGGAUUCACAUGGAUCAGCUCAUUUAAAAUUUACACAACAGCCCUAUGUUACAGGCACUAUCAUCACCCUCAUUUUAUACAAGGAAACAGAAGUCAAGAAUUUGUUCAAGGUCACUCAAGCUGGAGCUUCAGUUUUAACCCCAGAGCCCCAAACUCUUUACCAAACUAUCCUGCCUCUGAUAGCACGGUCUGAGACAGACCACUCUGAAAAGACAAGGGGAAGCUCAAACCCGGUGUCACUGGUGGCACUAGCAGGAGAGCACGAAGAGCUAAUGAAAGAGGAUGGCGUCUGACGUG
This is a long non-coding RNA of Chinchilla lanigera (long-tailed chinchilla), 1506 nucleotides long. RefSeq lists it as uncharacterized. The record is from RefSeq and is a predicted model, not a curated record. The transcript is spliced from 2 exons. NCBI's taxonomy places the organism in Eukaryota, Metazoa, Chordata, Mammalia, Rodentia, Chinchillidae.